CUAUUUUUUUUUUUUAAAAAAAUUAAACAAAAAGAAGCCACCGCCUUGGGGGGCUGUUCCCACAAGGUCGACCUGCAGGAGGGCCGCCCUAGUAAUUUUUUUUUAUUUGAUGCUGCUGAAGAAUCAUCAUUUUUUUAUACAGCAGAAUAGGGAGGAUGGAGGAUUUUCCCCUCCCAAUACUGCCUGUAUUACUCCCUCCUUUUUUAUCAUAUUAUUAUUUCCGCAGGCUUCUCUGCCGAGUGAAGACAAUAAUUAUCUAUUAAAUUAUCAAUCAUCAUCUGAAAAAAAAAAAUAAUAACAACUACCAUCAACGGAUCUCCUCGUUCUUCCAUCGAUGAAGAAGGCAGCAAAAUACUAUAAGUAGUGUGAUUAGCAGAAGUCAGCGGAGCAUCGAAGCUUCGUUGAAACAUCAUGCCGCCUGGUGUUCUACCAUGCAUCACGGCUGGAGCAUCAUCUUUUGCUCCUUCCUUCUCUUGGUGUUGGGUGUUGUUCCUGAGGGGGUCCCCUUAAAGAAAUUGGCAGCCAGCAUUGUUUUUUUAUGCACAGCAGAACUAGCGAUGCAACACUAUUCUCCAGCUUCCACAACACUUUUUUUCAACUUUUGACCUCGGAUCAGGUAGGGAUACCCGCUGAACUUAAGCAUAUCAAUAAGCGGAGGA
Molecule: ribosomal RNA, 659 nt
Filed under: uncultured Paraphoma
Lineage: Eukaryota; Fungi; Ascomycota; Dothideomycetes; Pleosporales; Phaeosphaeriaceae
Description: eukaryotic LSU rRNA
Rfam family: 5.8S ribosomal RNA (bases 300-453)
Source: RNAcentral